UAAGCAUAUCAAGGGGG
This 17-nucleotide ribosomal RNA is filed under the name ascomycete sp. CH-Aa18. Its description in RNAcentral is "partial 28S ribosomal RNA". Lineage: Eukaryota; Fungi; Ascomycota. The record is from RNAcentral.